AUAUUCCAAAAAAUUAACAAGAUUGGAAUAUUAUCCUCGACACAACGGGAUCGAAAACUUCGCUAUGCUCGUAAUCAUCACCCAGUGUCGGUUCAAAAUAUCACAAUCUUAUUAAUUUUCUAUUAAUUUUGAAACUUAUCCAAAAGUUGGAACUCAUCCAUUUUUAAAAAACACAUCUUUUCUUAAAAAAAAUUAUGUACGGAUAACAUUAUCACACAGAUAAAAAAAUAAGUACUUACGGCAAAAUUUAAUCUGAAAAACGUCGACGCUGCGCAAAACACAUUCCUUUACGUGGCCUUAAUUAUUACAUCACCUUUUGCAUAAUUAAAACCUACUACAUCACUACAAGAUGUACAUCAGAAAAUGAAUAUUCUACAGGAAUGCUGCACACGUCGAACCCGUCUUUCCAAAAUUAAAUUUUGUUAAAAAAAAAUACCGAAAUAACAUAAGUACUUAUAUGCCAAAAGAUACACAAUCACAU
This 481-nucleotide long non-coding RNA is filed under the name Ananas comosus (pineapple). RNAcentral's name for it is "long non-coding RNA (ACOM_LNC001068)". Lineage: Eukaryota; Viridiplantae; Streptophyta; Magnoliopsida; Poales; Bromeliaceae. The record is from RNAcentral.